RNAcentral lists this ribosomal RNA (254 nucleotides) under uncultured bacterium. RNAcentral's name for it is "partial 16S ribosomal RNA". It matches the Rfam family "Bacterial small subunit ribosomal RNA", at positions 524 to 777 of the family's 1533-position model. The record is from RNAcentral.
UACAGAGGGGGCAAGCGUUGUUCGGAAUUACUGGGCGUAAAGGGCGCGUAGGCGGCCCGCUAAGUCGAACGUGAAAUCCCUGGGCUCAACCCAGGAACUGCGUCCGAUACUGGCAGGCUUGAAUCCGGGAGAGGGAUGCGGAAUUCCAGGUGUAGCGGUGAAAUGCGUAGAUAUCUGGAGGAACACCGGUGGCGAAGGCGGCAUCCUGGACCGGCAUUGACGCUGAGGCGCGAAAGCCAGGGGAGCAAAGCGGG